GCAGUCGACGGUGAAGGUGGGAGCUUGCUCCUGCUGGAUCAGUGGCGAACGGGUGAGUAACACGUGAGUAACCUGCCCUUGACUCUGGGAUAAGCGUUGGAAACGACGUCUAAUACCGGAUACGAGCUUCAGCCGCAUGGCUAGGAGCUGGAAAGAAUUUCGGUCAAGGAUGGACUCGCGGCCUAUCAGCUAGUUGGUGAGGUAAUGGCUCACCAAGGCGACGACGGGUAGCCGGCCUGAGAGGGUGACCGGCCACACUGGGACUGAGACACGGCCCAGACUCCUACGGGAGGCAGCAGUGGGGAAUAUUGCACAAUGGGCGAAAGCCUGAUGCAGCAACGCCGCGUGAGGGACGACGGCCUUCGGGUUGUAAACCUCUUUUAGCAGGGAAGAAGCGAAAGUGACGGUACCUGCAGAAAAAGCACCGGCUAACUACGUGCCAGCAGCCGCGGUAAUACGUAGGGUGCAAGCGUUGUCCGGAAUUAUUGGGCGUAAAGAGCUCGUAGGCGGUUUGUCGCGUCUGCUGUGAAAACGCGAGGCUCAACCUCGCGCCUGCAGUGGGUACGGGCAGACUAGAGUGCGGUAGGGGAGAUUGGAAUUCCUGGUGUAGCGGUGGAAUGCGCAGAUAUCAGGAGGGAACACGAUGGCGAAGGCAGAUCUCUGGGGCGUAACUGACGC
Molecule: ribosomal RNA, 678 nt
Filed under: bacterium SL2.30
Lineage: Bacteria
Description: bacterial SSU rRNA
Rfam family: Bacterial small subunit ribosomal RNA
Source: RNAcentral